GGCUGCAUCUGAAGGUGAUGAGUUAUCUCUGUUAUAACAGAGUCAGUUACACAUAAAACUCGUUCUCCUCUUUCCCCUCUUCUCACUACUCCACUUGACUAGUCUAAA
Molecule: unclassified non-coding RNA, 108 nt
Organism: Nomascus leucogenys (northern white-cheeked gibbon)
Lineage: Eukaryota; Metazoa; Chordata; Mammalia; Primates; Hylobatidae
Rfam family: Y RNA
About the family: Y RNAs are components of the Ro ribonucleoprotein particle (Ro RNP), in association with Ro60 and La proteins.
Source: Ensembl